UAAAUUCCAAGUCCAACAGAUAACCACCA
RNAcentral lists this non-coding RNA (29 nucleotides) under Mus musculus (house mouse). Lineage: Eukaryota; Metazoa; Chordata; Mammalia; Rodentia; Muridae. The record is from RNAcentral.